UCGGCAUAUAGCACGGCCUACUCUCAGUUCGGCGGUCUUCUGGCAUUGCCAGGCUUCGUCUCACCCCAUUGAGCACGGCAACGUCUCUUUAUCAAAUGGCUUUCCCGAAGGAGCAUAGGGUCCAGAAUCAACUGCGACCGGCUUCCCGUUGUCCAGGGGGUAUCCCAAAUAAGGAUAACGUCCAGCUCAACAGCCCGGGACGAUUUCUCAUAACCAUCAUACGAUCACUCAAAUAUAGCCCAGGACACCGUGCAUUGCACUCAAAUGCUUCAAUUAAAAUGGUGAGCCUGGCCUUUUUCUUUGUAUUAGAAAUUCACAUGAAAUUACUCGUGUGUGGGUACACGGUCAACUUGAUCUAGAAAAAUUGAUAUUCCUCCUUUUUGAAAUCCCACUAUUUCAUAUAGUACUAAAAACCAUUUUCGGUAUCAAAACCCGACACCUGGGAUUUUCU
This 451-nucleotide long non-coding RNA is filed under the name Eucalyptus grandis. RNAcentral's name for it is "long non-coding RNA (EGRA_LNC007488)". Lineage: Eukaryota; Viridiplantae; Streptophyta; Magnoliopsida; Myrtales; Myrtaceae. The record is from RNAcentral.